AUGCUAAGCACGGUGUAUGAAUGAAUCUUGUGUGAGAAAGCAUGUUGUGUGAGGUUUUGAGCUCCAAAGUUUUUAGUGUUGUAUGCAUUAUUCACAAGAAAACAUGAAUGAUAUUGCCUUAAUCUUGAUCAAGGCCAUUUUUCAAAACCCUUCUCUAGCCAAAUUUUCACCUAAAGUGCUUGAAAAUAUUAUACCCUUUUUGAACCUUAGCCAUAAACAGGAUAUGAACCCUUGUCUUCAAAUUCGUUACCUUGAGUUGGGAUGAGCUUAAUUGUAUGCGAUGAAAAGGUUCAAGUUUGGGGUUGUGUGGGGGAAAUUGAAAGGCAAAUGAAAAGCAUUGACCUCAAAUGUUGUGAAAAGAAAAAUUCAUGAGGAAAAAAGAAAAGAAAAGAAGAAAAGCAUGAAGAUGAGCUCAAUGAAAAAGGAAAAGUUGGGAAUGAGUGAGAUUGGUGAGAAAGAGAGUUGUGCUUAAAUUUCGAAUACCAUGGUAGCUCUCUUAACUCAAGGACUUUGCAUUCCAGAAAAACCAAUUUUUCUUGUUAGCCCGACCACAUUACAUGCCUUGGAAAAGUCCUUUUGAUGAGUGGUAGUUUUGUUUCAUGUGACUUGUGAAUAAUAGAGAGUUGG
RNAcentral lists this long non-coding RNA (627 nucleotides) under Vigna radiata. RNAcentral's name for it is "long non-coding RNA (VRAD_LNC014227)". Lineage: Eukaryota; Viridiplantae; Streptophyta; Magnoliopsida; Fabales; Fabaceae. The record is from RNAcentral.